GGAUAAGAGGAAAGAGUUGGGCGGGCCUAUGAUUCUUCUGCAGCUAUGGGCGUGGGAAAGAAUGCCCACAUUGAGGCCGUCGUUCAUAGGAUCACUCGUGCACGAGCCAUAUACGCCAUGUGGUGCCAGGUGGAAAUGAACAACUCAAAUAGGAAAUGCUCCUAGAUACUCGGUUGAGCAUUACCGUGACCAAAUAUCCCUGAUUAGACUUGACCAGUUUCUCUGGACGCCAUACGCACAUUGCAUACUGUCUGACUACUGCAGUGAUGUGAAUGGAUGCUCUUUGUGCGAUACCUACUUGGUGUGCUGGGACUAUGUCGAGGCACAUGAGGCUGGACGAGUGCGGCGACAGUUCAAUCGGUAUCAGGAUAUUCCUCAAUAUGUAGACAGGAUGCUAAAGAAUGCCGAUCAUUUGGGCAAAAAUGAUCGGCGUGGUAAGAAGGGUAACAAUUGGGAAAACACUCACCAGUUCUACAUUGGGGAGUGAGACCUGAGGUAUGAAAAGUUCCAGGCAACCGAAGACGCCACACCGAUGUCCAUGAAUAUUCCUAUGAGUCCACGGUAUAUGGCGUGGUACACCAAGAUUACAGUGACGUACCUGACUCAGCUUAGGGUACGGUCAACUACUGGGAUGAACGAGUCAGCUUCUUCGAUGAGAUUACUUGUUGAGGGUUUUCAGCAGGUUUUUUAUUUAACUACUGAAGAAGAAAUGGACCCAAGAAUGCGCCAGAUUCGAUAAAUUGCUAGGCGUUGCCUCCAGUCGACGAACAACGCCGAUCUCACGGAGUACCCGGCUUCCCAACAUCAAGUUGUGGUCAUGCCUUAUCAACCACAAGUGAUUCCACAACAUCGUGGAGUGCCUGGUGUUCGGACUGGUGGACACGGUUUCACAAAGCAGUUUAGGAUGUCGCAGCCGCAUCCCGAUUACGUAAUACCAGAGCCGAUGAAUCCAGAGCAUGACCCACCUCAGUGGUCUUCGUAUCCGGCGCAUGAGUCCCAAUCACAGUGGGACCAUCCCUUGUAUUCUCCAAGCCAGCCUGAGCCUGUUUGAACUCGUCGCCCCUAUUCACAAAGCCAAGAUAUGCCGCAAUGGAGUGGAGCCCGAGCAUCAGUCGACUCAUUCUUCCAAAAUUAUCAGUUUGUGCCUCUUGUACAAGUUGAAGAAGAUGACGAUGAAGGAAAAGAAGAAAAUGAUGAAAGAGAGGAGGAAAAUGAGGAAGAAGAGGUUGUUCAUAACAUCCAUGUCCAACCUCGACCAGUUGCGGAGGGUUCAUCACGCGGCGGGGUUGGGAAGAUCAUGAGCAAAGUGUACAAGAGAUUGUCAACCAGGAAGAAUAAGGGGGUUGAACCGUCGAAAUACACUCCAUCGUCAUAUAAGUAGUGAAUGAAGUAAAAUAUUUAGUACAGUGGUUAUGAAGUUGGUGAAGGAGGUUGGUCUGUUUCUUCAUUUUUUUUAUAUAUAGCUUUAACCCUUUAUUUCU
Molecule: long non-coding RNA, 1481 nt
Organism: Salvia splendens (bonfire salvia)
Lineage: Eukaryota; Viridiplantae; Streptophyta; Magnoliopsida; Lamiales; Lamiaceae
Exons: 4
Source: RefSeq, a predicted model, not a curated record